Small nucleolar RNA from Leopardus geoffroyi (Geoffroy's cat), 131 nucleotides. The record is from RefSeq and is a predicted model, not a curated record. NCBI's taxonomy places the organism in Eukaryota, Metazoa, Chordata, Mammalia, Carnivora, Felidae.
AUUGAGGUCUAUCCCAACGGGGCUUUUCUGUAGACCUACAUUGUUGGAAACACCUCAUAGAGUACAUAUGUGGUUUCCUUUAUUCACAUUUCUUAUAUGUUAGAUCUGUGGGAAAGAAUUAUAAGACAUCU